Molecule: ribosomal RNA, 486 nt
Filed under: uncultured bacterium
Lineage: Bacteria
Description: bacterial SSU rRNA
Rfam family: Bacterial small subunit ribosomal RNA
Source: RNAcentral
AUGAACGCUAGCGACAGGCUUAACACAUGCAAGUCGAGGGGCAGCGUGGAGCAGCAAUGCUCUGGACGGCGACCGGCGGAAGGGUGCGUAACACGUGAGCGACUUGCCCGUCACAGGGGGAUAACCGGCGGAAACGGCGACUAAUACCCCAUACCGAUGCGAUGCUGCAUGGCAUUGCAUUGAAAGAUUCAUCGGUGGCGGAUAGGCUCGCGGGACAUUAGCUAGACGGCGGGGCAACGGCCCACCAAGGCGACGAUCAGUAGGGGUUCUGAGAGGAAGGCCCCCCACAUUGGAACUGAGACACGGUCCAAACUCCUACGGGAGGCAGCAGUGAGGAAUAUUGGUCAAUGGACGAGAGUCUGAACCAGCCAAGUAGCGUGAAGGAUGAAGGUCUUACGGAUUGUAAACUUCUUUUAUAAGGGAAUAAACCCUCCCACGUGUGGGAGCUUGUAUGUACCUUAUGAAUAAGCAUCGGCUAACUCCGUG